Molecule: long non-coding RNA, 2944 nt
Filed under: Homo sapiens (human)
Lineage: Eukaryota; Metazoa; Chordata; Mammalia; Primates; Hominidae
Description: HSALNT0135912
Source: RNAcentral
CUCCUAGACAAACAUGUAUAGAAAUCCCAGCACUGGAGAGUUGAUGAGAAAGUGGGCAGAUCGGCUCUAUUCACAGCUGGGGGAAACUGACCACUUUAACAAAAGGAAGAAUGCUCAGGUAACAUCUAGCCCAAAGGUCGCUCAGGAAUGUUCAAAGCACUCAGGAGAGAGUGAAGUAUCCCAUCUUUGGGACACACAAGUCCCACUCAGCAUCCAUUGAAAGCGCAGCACCAAAAGCAUUGAGAUGGUGGCAGGACCUCAUUUUCCCUCUUCUCUAUUCCCUUACUCUUUCUCCAGCACAGAAGAAGCCUUGAUCUGCUUAGAAGCACUCCCCAGCAUCUGAACCAUCUCUUCCAAGCUAUUCCCCCAGAAGACAGGAAGACUGGGCGGUUUCCUCUGUAACAGCUCCCAGAACUGCAGCUUCCAGUGGUUUCUCCCCACCAUUGCCCCUCUUGGUUUGCUGGAAGAGCCUCCAAGACAAUGUUGAAAAGUUGGCCCUGCAGCCAGCUUCAGCAGGGCAGUCCUGCAUAGCUGCCACUUCUACCGAGGACCACCCUCUCCAGGUUCCACGCAAGCUCAUGGUGGCUGCUCCAGCCCAGCAGACCCACUUCCUGGGAGUCAUCACCCACUUGCAUCUUACUGUGGCUCUUCUUCUGUGUCCCCCAGUCAUCUGCCUACACAGAGAGAGCACAGCCACUGAAGCCUGAGACUCACGAAAGACGCCUGUGCUUUGAGGGGCUGCAGGGGGCUGCUUCCCAGGCAAACUUCAUUGCAGAAUUCUGAUGUCCCUGUCUGCUUCCCACUCAGGGAGUUAAUGGGACUCCACAACAGGACUCCCAGAAGUUCUCCCUGCCUGCAUGUGAUGAAGAGUGCUGAGUGAUAGAUUUGAAAUUGGACCCCUGACAUCAUGAAUAGCAGAAGUUAAUAUCUAAUGCAGCCAAAAUGCUGCACAGCUUCCUGGAACCCUUAGCACCAAAGACCACCAUGCACUGAGGAGCCACCUGCAGCUCUCCACACCAUGAAGUGCAUAUGUACCCCUCCUCUCCGCAUCUCGCAUGACCCAGCCCAUGGUGCUAAACUGACUGAGCAAGAAGCAUCCAGAGCCUCUUCUGCUGGACGCAUGGAACACACUCUCAAGAGAUGCAGCCCAAAAUAGGACUCUAUGGUCAAUGAAAUGGAAUGGGAAAUGCUGCACCGUGUAUCCCCUUUCUAAGGAUCCAUGAUGUUUAUUGUUGUUGUUGUUGUUAGUGAAACCUUUUAAACAACCUUCAGGAAAAUCAUCCCUGUUUUUCGCAAACUUUCUAACCUUUCCCCAUGAAGAAUUUUUUUUUUUUUUCAUGAAAUGGAAUUUCACUCUUCUCGCCCAGGCUAGAGUGCUCACUGCAACCUCUGCCUCCUGGGUUCAAGCAAUUCUCCUGCUUCAGCCUCCUCAGCAGCUGGGAUUACAGGCGCCCACCCCCACACCCGGCUAAUUUUUUUGUAUUUUUAGUAGAGACUGGGUUUCGCCAUGUUGGCCAGGCUGGUCUGGAGCUCCUGAUCUCAGGUGAUCCGCCCGUCUCAGCCACCCAAAGUGCUGAGAUUACAGGGGUGAGCCACCGUGCCCGGCACAUAGUGACAUUUUUAUUAGUGUCUUGCAGACUUGCACUCCACAAAACACACUUGGAAAAGGCUUUUCCAGAAUGGUAUAGGAUGGUGUCUGCGACCAUAGUUCUUCUGCAAAUGUAGCAGUGAACUCUGCAUGACUGUUUCUAGCACGUUUAAUUAAAGCCAAGGGCAUGAUUCUCAAAAUGCAAUCCAAGGAAGGUAAUUAUGUAAGAAAACAAAUGAAUAUCUUUCAAGAAAUUUGCCUUCUGAUGGUCUGCUAAGAUCACAGGUCUCAGAGUGCUUACAGGGGUGGAUGGGAUGUGGGACUUUGGACAGUCACCCCUAGAUGGCACUUCUCUCACCACAUAAUGUGGGUACUAAAUGGGCAACAAUUCUAGGUGAAACUCUCAGAAGAAAAACAAGAGCACCGUUAUCUUACAUUGAUAAUUGAGGAUAGGAUCCAGAUGCCUUGGAAACCAGAAAAGCAAAUGGCGCAGAUGCCAUAUGAGAAGUAUGAUCCAUCUUCCUAUCUGAAUGGUGGUCUCCACCCUCCUCAAGGAUAGGAGGCACGAAAUGGUUCGGCUGCAGCCACACCAGGCUUUGGCAAGAGGUGGAAGCCAUGUUUAGCCCUCCUGACUCUCCUCAUUGUCACCCCAUUCAGUUAUUACUCACCCUACCAACUACCCAAAGACCUCAGCUUUGCUCGAAUAUUUUGAACUGAGUUAUAGGCUGGCUGUUUUAAUAUGUCAGAAUUAUUUUAUUGCCUGUUUUGUCUUCUUUUUCACAAAUAUUUAGUGCAGAGCUUUUAGAUGCAUAUACUGCAUGCUGAUGAAGUCUGGGUUUUCAGUGUACCCAUCAUCCAAACAGUGAACAUGGUACUCAAUAGGUAAUUUUUCAGUCUUCACUCCAUUGUUUUGUUUUUAUUAAAUUGAUGGAAGUCUGAAGCCAUGAGUAAUCGGGAGCUAGAAAGGAGAGAGAAGGAAAACAGACAAAAUGUGGGUGAGGUACACCCUCCUGCACACUUGCUAUUUUUGCUUAAAACUAUUUUUUCCAGUAGUCGAACCAUAAAUAUUGGGAUGAUUAUGAUGAUGGUGGUGGCUGGGUUUUAACUGAGUUCCUGCUCUGUGCUAUGUACAUGCCUGUCUUUAGCAUGUUUUCUAAAUUCCCCUGCUGGCUCCUUCUCAUUUUUCUGACUUCUAAACACUGGAGUAUUCCACAGACCUUUUCUCUUCUCUAUCCUAAUGCAUUCCUUAUGAUCUCAUGCAGUCCCAAGAUCUAAAAAAUUACUUACAAAUUGGUGAUUCCCAACUUUAUAUCCCAGCCCCAGUCUCUCCCCUAGGCUCAGACUCUCACAUCCACC